GUCUAACAAUCGGACAGAAAAUGCACUUGUGUAAACAGUCCCCGAACGGUCCUCCAUACGUCACGUAGCGACAUUAUAAUUACAUAAAUCAAAAGACCCGAUAAACCAACAUGCCUGAUGCGCGUGCGCCGAAAGCUGGGCACGAAGAAGCCAGUUAGCAAUUAGCAACUUAGCUUCCACGGCUUCUCGCAGGCACCGUGGAAGAGGGGAGGAGGCGAAGCGUGUGCAGCAGCAGUACCCCGGGUGACCAGUUGACGCUAAUCGGGGAUCCGACGGGUCACGCCACUACACUAUUUAAAACUUUAAAUAUAUUAAACAUUUUAAUAUUUUAAAAACAAUUUAAACUGGACUAAUGCUCUAAUGGUCAUUUUAGAGAAUUAGUAUAUUAAAAAACAGAUUAAUACUAUACAUUUGCAGACAUUUAUCUUUAGUUUUACGAACCUAGUUGGUUUUUAUGUGUUACAACUUUGUUAUUGUGAGCUACACUACUGUCCAGAUCCCUCAGAAGGACUGAGUGUUGAAGACAUGGAAGAAAGCAGUUGAUGAUUCAGGUGGAAGUACUGAAAAAAGACCCAGAUCACAAGCAGAUAGAUGAGUUAAUGUCUGCCACGUUUUCCAAGCGCAGAAAGGAGAUUGUGGGGAUCAACCUCUCAUCGGGGAUGUUAUGGCAAAAUGGCCGGCCAUGUUCUGUGAGAGACAGAGAGCAUGGCUGAUGCUGUUUUUGU
Molecule: long non-coding RNA, 725 nt
Organism: Cynoglossus semilaevis (tongue sole)
Lineage: Eukaryota; Metazoa; Chordata; Actinopteri; Pleuronectiformes; Cynoglossidae
Exons: 3
Source: RefSeq, a predicted model, not a curated record